GCACGAAGUUGGAAUUGCUAGUAAUCGUGGAUCAGCAUGCCACGGUGAAUACGUUCCCGGGUCUUGUACACACCGCCCGUCACACCAUGGGAGUCGGUAACACCCGAAGUCAGUAGUCUAACCGCAAGGAGGACGCUGCCGAAGGUGGGAUUGACGACUGGGGUGAAGUCGUAACAAGGUACC
RNAcentral lists this ribosomal RNA (183 nucleotides) under uncultured bacterium. Its description in RNAcentral is "partial 16S ribosomal RNA". It matches the Rfam family "Bacterial small subunit ribosomal RNA", at positions 1318 to 1500 of the family's 1533-position model. The record is from RNAcentral.